ACUUAUCAAUCCUCUCUCCGUUCAGCAAACCAUCUUGUCAUCAUAGUCCGUAUCGCUUCUAACAGUCGAACUAUGGGAAGAUUUCUGGCUUUUGACAUUGCUUUGUUCAUUGAUUCCGCUAUAUUCGUAGUCAUUAAAUUGU
RNAcentral lists this small RNA (142 nucleotides) under Arabidopsis thaliana (thale cress). RNAcentral's name for it is "ATSL205920". Lineage: Eukaryota; Viridiplantae; Streptophyta; Magnoliopsida; Brassicales; Brassicaceae. The record is from RNAcentral.